GUCCUUGUAGUUCAACGGAUAGAACAACUCCCUCCUAAGGAGUAGAUCCAGGUUCGAUUCCUGGUGAGGACACCA
RNAcentral lists this transfer RNA (75 nucleotides) under Candidatus Saccharimonadota bacterium. Its description in RNAcentral is "tRNA-Arg". It matches the Rfam family "tRNA". From Rfam's summary of the family: Transfer RNA (tRNA) molecules are approximately 80 nucleotides in length. Their secondary structure includes four short double-helical elements and three loops (D, anti-codon, and T loops). Further hydrogen bonds mediate the characteristic L-shaped molecular structure. tRNAs have two regions of fundamental functional importance: the anti-codon, which is responsible for specific mRNA codon recognition, and the 3' end, to which the tRNAs corresponding amino acid is attached (by aminoacyl-tRNA synthetases). tRNAs cope with the degeneracy of the genetic code in two manners: having more than one tRNA (with a specific anti-codon) for a particular amino acid; and 'wobble' base-pairing, i.e. permitting non-standard base-pairing at the 3rd anti-codon position. Lineage: Bacteria; Candidatus Saccharimonadota. The record is from RNAcentral.